Molecule: long non-coding RNA, 249 nt
Organism: Leptopilina heterotoma
Lineage: Eukaryota; Metazoa; Arthropoda; Insecta; Hymenoptera; Figitidae
Exons: 2
Source: RefSeq, a predicted model, not a curated record
UUUCAAAAAUAUUAUUUUCUAUGUAUUCUACAUAUGAAACUUGAUGAAAUUCUGGAAUUCUGGCGCACAUACAUUUUGAGGUUAUGUUUAUUUUUCAAAUCAAAACACAAGCGUCAUGAGUGGCACGAGUUUAGCAAUUUUAGCAAUAGCAACGUUAGCAAUGAAGGAAAUAUAUGUGUUAGUUUUUUAGCAGAAUUUCAUCAACUUUUUAGAAAAUUAAACAGAAAUCACAGAAAUCAAUUUUGGAAA